CUUCAAUCUCCACUGGAACUCAAGGUCUCCUGUCCCCUCCUUGCCCAACUUCGCUGCUCUGCUUGUACUUCCUGCUGAUGUCCACCAGAGGGCGCCAUGACAUCACUCACCAGCUCAGAGAUGAAGACAAACUGGGGACUUUGGAUUUGUUGUGUUGCUGUCCGAGACAAAGGUUUCAGUCAACACACACGAUAAGAUGUCUCGGUGUCCCAGAGGUCUUCCAGGUCCAGCUGCAGCGUGAGAAACCCUCCAAUCAGAGC
Perca flavescens (yellow perch) is the source of this 260-nucleotide long non-coding RNA. RefSeq lists it as uncharacterized. The record is from RefSeq and is a predicted model, not a curated record. The transcript is spliced from 3 exons. NCBI's taxonomy places the organism in Eukaryota, Metazoa, Chordata, Actinopteri, Perciformes, Percidae.